RNAcentral lists this ribosomal RNA (665 nucleotides) under uncultured Agaricales. Its description in RNAcentral is "eukaryotic LSU rRNA". The stretch from base 261 to 415 matches the Rfam family "5.8S ribosomal RNA". The record is from RNAcentral. Lineage: Eukaryota; Fungi; Basidiomycota; Agaricomycetes; Agaricales.
CUUGGUCAUUUAGAGGAAGUAAAAGUCGUAACAAGGUUUCCGUAGGUGAACCUGCGGAAGGAUCAUUAUUGAAAUUAUAGGUGAGGGUUGUAGCUGGCCUCUCGGGGCAUGUGCACGCCCGAGCCCUUAAUCCACACACACCUGUGAACCUAUUGUAAGGGCCCGUAAAAAAGGCCUUUACGUCUUAUCACCAACCCAUCGUAUGUCUCAUAGAAUGUAAAUAUAUGUCCUCGCCUUAAAAAGCGUUGAUAAACUUAUACAACUUUCAACAACGGAUCUCUUGGCUCUCGCAUCGAUGAAGAACGCAGCGAAAUGCGAUAAGUAAUGUGAAUUGCAGAUAUUCAGUGAAUCAUCGAAUCUUUGAACGCACCUUGCGCUCCUUGGUAUUCCGAGGAGCAUGCCUGUUUGAGUGUCAUUAAAUUCUCAAACUCCGAUCGAUUUGUUUCGACUUCGGGGCUUGGAUUUGGAGCGUGCUGGCGUCGGUCGGCUCCUCUUAAACGCAUCAGCGGAAUCUAACGUUCCGGACGUCAGUGUGAUAAUCACGUUGCGCUGUCUUUCGGUCCGAAAAGCCCGCUCACAAUGGUCUUCGGACAACUUCAUAUCAAAUUUGACCUCAAAUCAGGUAGGACUACCCGCUGAACUUAAGCAUAUCAAUAAGCGGAGGA